UUUCAAGAUUCUAAGAGCAAACGGUGGAUGCCUUGGCAUCUGGAGCCGAAGAAGGACGUAUAAAUCUGCGAUAAGCCUCGGGGAGCUGAUAAUAGAGCUUUGAUCCGAGGAUCUCCGAAUGGGGAAACCCCGCCAGGCCCUUUGGGUGACCUGGUGACUCCCGCCUGAAUAUAUAGGGCGGGUAGAGGGAACGUGGGGAAGUGAAACAUCUCAGUACCCACAGGAAGAGAAAGCAAAAGCGAUUCCGUUAGUAGUGGCGAGCGAAACCGGAAGAGGCCAAACCGAUCAUGUGUGAUAUCCGGUAGGAGUUGCAUGGUCGGGGUUGCGGGACUUUCCGUACAGUUCUACCGAGCUGUGAGGGCAAUGAGCGCGAUAUAGACGAAUGGUCUUGAAAGGCCAGUCAUAGAGGGUGCGAACCCCGUAGUCGAAAUGUCGUCGCCUGUCCGGAGAGUAUCCCAAGUAGCACGGGGCCCGAGAAAUCCCGUGUGAAUCUGUCAGGACCACCUGAUAAGCCUAAAUACUCCCAGAUGACCGAUAGCGGACAAGUACCGUGAGGGAAAGGUGAAAAGUACCCCGGGAGGGGAGUGAAAUAGUACCUGAAACCGUUUGCUUACAAACCGUUGGAGCACCCUUGUUGGUGUGACAGCGUGCCUUUUGAAGAAUGAGCCUGCGAGUUAGUGAUAUGUGGCGAGGUUAACCCGUGAGGGGCAGCCGUAGCGAAAGCGAGUCUUAAUAGGGCGUAUGAGUCGCAUGUUCUAGACCCGAAGCGAAGUGAUCUAUCCAUGGCCAGGUUGAAGCGACGGUAAGACGUCGUGGAGGACCGAACCCACUUCAGUUGAAAAUGGAGGGGAUGAGCUGUGGAUAGGGGUGAA
This 872-nucleotide ribosomal RNA is filed under the name Clavibacter michiganensis. RNAcentral's name for it is "partial 23S ribosomal RNA". It matches the Rfam family "Bacterial large subunit ribosomal RNA", at positions 1 to 825 of the family's 2925-position model. Lineage: Bacteria; Bacillati; Actinomycetota; Actinomycetes; Micrococcales; Microbacteriaceae. The record is from RNAcentral.